UGCCAAUGCGAGAUAGAAAGAUUACCCCUC
This 30-nucleotide non-coding RNA is filed under the name Rattus norvegicus (Norway rat). Lineage: Eukaryota; Metazoa; Chordata; Mammalia; Rodentia; Muridae. The record is from RNAcentral.